ACUCCUACGGGAGGCAGCAGUGGGGAAUAUUGCACAAUGGGCGCAAGCCUGAUGCAGCCAUGCCGCGUGUGUGAAGAAGGCCUUCGGGUUGUAGAGCACUUUCAGUCGUGAGGAAGGUAGUGUAGUUAAUAGCUGCAUUAUUUGACGUUAGCGACAGAAGAAGCACCGGCUAACUCCGUGCCAGCAGCCGCGGUAAUACGGAGGGUGCGAGCGUUAAUCGGAAUUACUGGGCGUAAAGCGCAUGCAGGUGGUUUGUUAAGUCAGAUGUGAAAGCCCGGGGCUCAACCUCGGAAUAGCAUUUGAAACUGGCAGACUAGAGUACUGUAGAGGGGGUAGAAUUUCAGGUGUAGCGGUGAAAUGCGUAGAGAUCUGAAGGAUACCGGUGGCGAAGGCGGCCCCUGGACAGAUACUGACACUCAGAUGCGAAGCGUGGGGAGCAAACAGGAUUAGAUACCCUGGUAGGAUAGCG
This 469-nucleotide ribosomal RNA is filed under the name uncultured bacterium. Its description in RNAcentral is "bacterial SSU rRNA". It matches the Rfam family "Bacterial small subunit ribosomal RNA", at positions 335 to 799 of the family's 1533-position model. The record is from RNAcentral.